This 369-nucleotide long non-coding RNA is filed under the name Rattus norvegicus (Norway rat). RNAcentral's name for it is "long non-coding RNA NONRATT004633". The record is from RNAcentral. Lineage: Eukaryota; Metazoa; Chordata; Mammalia; Rodentia; Muridae.
UCCCCAUUUGGAAGGAGCUUUUCUUGUUGUGCUGCAGGAACGCAGUUAGGGUGGGCUCCCCUUGAUUCCGGGGACCGAGAGGUUCUGGAAGCAGCCUGGAUGGGAGGAAGAAGGACAAAAGGGGGAAGAGGGGUGGGUGACGGAGGAGCGGCGCCGGUGGGACUACGGGCUGCCCGGGAGCUCCGAAUGUGCACACACGCCGUCUGUAUGUGUGUGCAGCAAAUCCAGGCUCUGCUGGCUCCCCCCAAGACGGACGAGGCAGAAAAGCGGAGUCGGAAGCCGGAGAAGGAGUCCCGGAGAAGCGGCAGGGCCACCAACCACGACAGCUGCGAUAGCUGCAAGGAAGGUGGAGAUCUCUUGUGCUGUGAU